AUAACAUAAUGGUAACAAUAGUAUUGGUAAAAAUAAUUGUGAUUAUAAAAAUUAUAGCAGUAAUAGUGGCAAUAAGAUCAAUAGUAGUGGCAAUAAUCCUGAUAAUAAAAUAAUGAUGUGACAAUAACAAUAGUAAUAACUAUCUCAACAAUAAUAAUAAAUGUAACAUGGGGUUGAUAAUGGUGGUGAAACUAGUGAUUCCAAUAGUGAGAGUGACAACAAUGGUGCUAGUGGCUUCAAAUAAUGUAUAACUAUUUUGGCCUAAAGAACACAUGGUCAAGGUAGUAAUGGAAAAGCAAAUAAGCAAUUACAAAAAUGAAGUAAUGUUAU
Molecule: long non-coding RNA, 330 nt
Filed under: Carica papaya (papaya)
Lineage: Eukaryota; Viridiplantae; Streptophyta; Magnoliopsida; Brassicales; Caricaceae
Description: long non-coding RNA (CPAP_LNC007176)
Source: RNAcentral